Molecule: non-coding RNA, 86 nt
Organism: Branchiostoma floridae (Florida lancelet)
Lineage: Eukaryota; Metazoa; Chordata; Leptocardii; Amphioxiformes; Branchiostomatidae
Source: Rfam
CUGUGUGAAUGUUGUUCAGCACCAGGGACAGAUGUGUUUAUUUAUGUUUGAAUGGUGUUCAGUGCCAGGGACAGAUGUGUUUGCUU